GACGGAGGGCGCAAGCGUUGUUCGGAAUUACUGGGCGUAAAGCGCGGGCAGGUGGUUCGUUAAGUCAUUUGUGAAAAUCCGGGGCUCAACCCCGCGAAAUGCAGAUGAUACUGGCGAGCUGGAGAUCGGUAGAGGCUAGCGGAAUUCCUGGUGUAGCGGUGGAAUGCGUAGAGAUCAGGAAGAACACCCGUGGCGAAGGCGGCUAGCUGGGCCGAGUCUGACACUCAUCCGCGAAAGCGUGGGGAGCAAACAGG
Molecule: unclassified non-coding RNA, 254 nt
Filed under: uncultured Gemmatimonadota bacterium
Lineage: Bacteria; Pseudomonadati; Gemmatimonadota
Description: uncultured Gemmatimonadetes bacterium contains 16S-23S intergenic spacer region
Rfam family: Bacterial small subunit ribosomal RNA
Source: RNAcentral